GACCAACAAUGAAAAUAGCCAAAUUUGAACAUCAGCAGAAGUUCCAGUCUGCUGAUGCCUGAGCUCUGUAGCUCAGGGA
Small nucleolar RNA from Talpa occidentalis (Iberian mole), 79 nucleotides. RefSeq annotates it as small nucleolar RNA U2-19. NCBI's taxonomy places the organism in Eukaryota, Metazoa, Chordata, Mammalia, Eulipotyphla, Talpidae. The record is from RefSeq and is a predicted model, not a curated record. The transcript has a single exon.